This 28-nucleotide non-coding RNA is filed under the name Homo sapiens (human). Lineage: Eukaryota; Metazoa; Chordata; Mammalia; Primates; Hominidae. The record is from RNAcentral.
UAGAUUCCGUGUUGGUGCGUGCUGAGGA